CGAGUGCCAACAGAUGAAGAUCUUCAAAGGAAUAGGAAGAGGUCAACCUGAGGGAAGACUUCCUGAGGAGGAACUACUGAAACUACUGAAGGAACUACUGAAGACAGAGAGGAAGAGAGCGCGGUCGCAAGGAGAACACAUACAGAUCAGGAGUGUCAGACAUCCCAGUGGUGGGCCAUUUGCUACUCUCCAUCUGAUGAACUGUACCAUCUCUCCAUCUGAUGAACUGUACCAUCUCUCCAUCUGAUGAACUGUACCAUCUCUCCAUCUCUCCAUCUGAUGAUCUGUACCAUCUCUCCAUCUGAUGAUCUGUACCAUCUCUCCAUCUGAUGAUCUGUACCAUCUCUCCAUCUGAUGAACUGUACCAUCUCUCCAUCUGAUGAACUGUACCAUCUCUCAAUCUCUCCAUCUGAUGAACUGUACCAUCUCUCCAUCUGAUGAUCUGUACCACCUCUCCAUCUCUCCAUCUGAUGAUCUGUACCAUCUCUCCAUCUGAUGAACUGUACCAUCUCUCCAUCUGAUGAACUGUACCAUCUCUCCAUCUGAUGAUCUGUACCAUCUCUCCAUCUGAUGAACUGUACCAUCUCUCCAUCUGAUGAACUGUACCACCUCUCCAUCUCUCCAUCUGAUGAACUGUACCAUCUCUCCAUCUCUCCAUCUGAUGAACUGUAC
Oncorhynchus tshawytscha (Chinook salmon) is the source of this 672-nucleotide long non-coding RNA. The record is from Ensembl. NCBI's taxonomy places the organism in Eukaryota, Metazoa, Chordata, Actinopteri, Salmoniformes, Salmonidae.